RNAcentral lists this small nuclear RNA (87 nucleotides) under Megaselia scalaris. RNAcentral describes it as "U5 spliceosomal RNA". It matches the Rfam family "U5 spliceosomal RNA", at positions 32 to 117 of the family's 117-position model. From Rfam's summary of the family: U5 RNA is a component of both types of known spliceosome. The precise function of this molecule is unknown, though it is known that the 5' loop is required for splice site selection and p220 binding, and that both the 3' stem-loop and the Sm site are important for Sm protein binding and cap methylation. Lineage: Eukaryota; Metazoa; Arthropoda; Insecta; Diptera; Phoridae. The record is from Rfam by way of RNAcentral.
CUUUCGCCUUUUACUAAAGAUUUCCGUGGAGAGGAACACUCAAAUGAGUCUAAAGAAAUUUUUAUAAGGCCUGACGAAAGUUGGGCU